ACUCCUACGGGAGGCAGCAGUAGGGAAUUUUCCGCAAUGGACGAAAGUCUGACGGAGCAAUGCCGCGUGAGUGAUGAAGGUUUUACGAAUUCGUAAAGCUCUGUUGUAAGGGAAAGAAUAGCAAGAAUAGGAAAUGAUUCUUGUCUGACGGUACCUUACCAGAAAGCCACGGCUAACUACGUGCCAGCAGCCGCGGUAAUACGUAGGUGGCAAGCGUUAUCCGGAAUUAUUGGGCGUAAAGCGCAUGUAGGCGGCUCUUUAAGUCUGAUGUGAAAGCCUGUGGCUCAACCACAGAAUUGCAUUGGAUACUGGAGAGCUAGAAUCUUGGAGAGGUAAGUGGAAUUUCAUGUGUAGCGGUGGAAUGCGUAGAUAUAUGAAGGAACACCAAUGGCGAAGGCAGCUUACUGGACAAGUAUUGACGCUGAGAUGCG
Molecule: ribosomal RNA, 431 nt
Filed under: uncultured bacterium
Lineage: Bacteria
Description: bacterial SSU rRNA
Rfam family: Bacterial small subunit ribosomal RNA
Source: RNAcentral